Molecule: ribosomal RNA, 450 nt
Filed under: uncultured Anaplasma sp.
Lineage: Bacteria; Pseudomonadati; Pseudomonadota; Alphaproteobacteria; Rickettsiales; Anaplasmataceae
Description: bacterial SSU rRNA
Rfam family: Bacterial small subunit ribosomal RNA
Source: RNAcentral
UCUACCUAGUAGUAUAGGAUAGCCACUAGAAAUGGUGGGUAAUACUGUAUAAUCCCUGCGGGGGAAAGAUUUAUCGCUACAUGAUGAGCCUAUGUUAGAUUAGCUAGUUGGUGGGGUAAUGGCCUACCAAGGCAGUGAUCUAUAGCUGGUCUGAGAGGAUGAUCAGCCACACUGGAACUGAGACACGGUCCAGACUCCUACGGGAGGCAGCAGUGGGGAAUAUUGGACAAUGGGCGCAAGCCUGAUCCAGCUAUGCCGCGUGAGUGAGGAAGGCCUUAGGGUUGUAAAACUCUUUCAGUGGGGAAGAUAAUGACGGUACCCACAGAAGAAGUCCCGGCAAACUCCGUGCCAGCAGCCGCGGUAAUACGGAGGGGGCAAGCGUUGUUCGGAAUUAUUGGGCGUAAAGGGCAUGUAGGUGGUUUGGUAAGUUAAAGGUGAAAUGCCAGGGCU